GACGAACGCUGGCGGCGCGCUUAACACAUGCAAGUCGAACGGAAAGGCCUGCUUUCCCUUGUGGAUUGCGGGUACUCGAGUGGCGAACGGGUGAGUAACACGUGAGUGAUCUGCCCCCAACUUGGGUAUAAGCCUGGGAAACUGGGUCUAAUUCCCGAUAGGACUGCAGGGUGGUGCCUGUGGUGGAAAACGAUUUUCUAGUGGUUGGGGAUGAGCUCGCGGCCUAUCAGCUUGUUGGUGGGGUAAUGGCCUACCAAGGCGGCGACGGGUAGCCGGCCUGGGGGGGUGGACGGCCACAUUGGGACUGAGAUACGGCCAAGACUCCUACGGGCGGCAGCAGUGGGGAAUAUUGCACAAUGGGCGGAAGCCUGAUGGAGCGACGCCGCGUGGGGGAUGACGGCCUUCGGGUUGUAAACUCCUUUCGACCGCGAGGAAGCCACCUGGUUGGAAGGGUGGUGACGGUAGUGGUAGAAGAAGCACCGGCUAACUACGUG
This 494-nucleotide ribosomal RNA is filed under the name uncultured bacterium. RNAcentral describes it as "partial 16S ribosomal RNA". It matches the Rfam family "Bacterial small subunit ribosomal RNA", at positions 28 to 507 of the family's 1533-position model. The record is from RNAcentral.